This 495-nucleotide ribosomal RNA is filed under the name uncultured bacterium. RNAcentral describes it as "partial 16S ribosomal RNA". It matches the Rfam family "Bacterial small subunit ribosomal RNA", at positions 28 to 507 of the family's 1533-position model. The record is from RNAcentral.
GACGAACGCUGGCGGCGUGCCUAAUACAUGCAAGUAGAACGCUGAAGGAGGAGCUUGCUCUUCUGGAUGAGUUGCGAACGGGUAAGUAACGCGUAGGUAACCUGCCUGGUAGCGGGGGAUAACUAUUGGAAACGAUAGCUAAUACCGCAUAACAGUAGAUGUUGCAUGACAUUUGCUUAAAAGGUGCAAUUGCACCACUACCAGAUGGACCUGCGUUGUAUUAGCUAGUUGGUGGGGUAACGGCUCACCAAGGCGACGAUACAUAGCCGACCUGAGAGGGGGAUCGGCCACACUGGGACUGAGACACGGCCCAGACUCCUACGGGAGGCAGCAGUAGGGAAUCUUCGGCAAUGGACGGAAGUCUGACCGAGCAACGCCGCGUGAGUGAAGAAGGGUUUCGGAUCGUAAAGCUCUGUUGUAAGAGAAGAACGAGUGUGAGAGUGGAAAGUUCACACUGUGACGGUAUCUUACCAGAAAGGGACGGCUAACUACGUG